GGCGGUGCAGCCUCCUGCCCAGCAGAGCAAAGAGAGGCCAUGGAAGCUCUUGUCUGCACUUUGUUGGGAAGUGCAUUUGGUAAAGUGCCUGCAUAGUGUCUGGCAGAUGGUUGGAGCCCACUUGCUACUCCUCACACCCUUCUGCAGUCCCCUCUCAUAAAGCAACUGCCUCAGUGUGCAUGGCCAACAGAAUGUGGCAGAAGUGAUGGGGAGUCCAAAUGCCAUGUUGUGAGGACACUCAGGCACCCUAAAGAGAAGCGCACACGGCAAGGAACUGAGGCCUCCCGUUGCAGCCAGCCAGGUGAGGUCACCAACAUCCACAUGGGUUAAUG
Non-coding RNA from Manis javanica (Malayan pangolin), 332 nucleotides. Lineage: Eukaryota; Metazoa; Chordata; Mammalia; Pholidota; Manidae. The record is from RefSeq and is a predicted model, not a curated record.